GUGGCCAGGAAGCUCCCACUUUGGCUGGGCUGGGUGUGGGUGUUAAUCUUUUCCUGUCUUGUGUGUGCUGUGCUCACAAAGGCUUUUUGCUCCCUCAGGGUGAGGUGUGGUUUUGGCCGAAGAUGAGGUGUUUUGGUAGCCCUGUGGAUGCUGUGUGGUGUCUGGAAUGGGGUGUGUGUGUUCCCAUCAUGCCCCUUCCCCUCUGCCUGCAGAGCUGAGGACAGACAGGUCUGAGGAGCAGAGCAGGAGCUCUGGGAAGGAGAAAAGCAAUAUGAAGAUGGAGUGUAAGAUGAGACCAGGUAACUUCUGUGGAGGGAGACAUGCUGGACAGGGCCUAGGAUUGGGGAGACAAGCAGGGAAAAGAAGUCAUGGGGACGGAGUCCAGCCCUGAGGUGAGAUGGAAAGUGAUCAAGAGCAGUGACAGCGUGAAUCCUGUUGAUGCCAGGCAAGAGCUCCCCAACUGUGACAAGAGUAACCGUCCCUGUCGAAAUAUGUUAUGAAGUUGGGAAAUGCCCCCUACCAGCCUAUCAGGUGCGACAAGGGAAGAGCCAGACUCACUGCUGGCCUAUUGAAGGUGGCUACAGUCCCAAGGACUAUCCCAGGAACCGUGUACAAUGCAGACUUCGCCGAGAUAACACAGCAACAAUGGACAUUGCUUGACUCACAUCAUAGCAAAGGAGCUUUCUAGAAAGUUGGAAGAAACUAUGAAAGGGGGGAAGAGACAUCAUGACUUGGCAUCUCUCCCCCACAAAUCAACAGCUGGAAACACACCUGGAUGACAAAACUGAUUCAUAAAUCAGAAGAGAAUAAUAAUAAUACAUUCAAACCAAAGUC
Long non-coding RNA from Gopherus flavomarginatus (Mexican gopher tortoise), 834 nucleotides. RefSeq lists it as uncharacterized. The transcript is spliced from 3 exons. NCBI's taxonomy places the organism in Eukaryota, Metazoa, Chordata, Testudines, Testudinidae. The record is from RefSeq and is a predicted model, not a curated record.